This 1154-nucleotide long non-coding RNA is filed under the name Macaca fascicularis (crab-eating macaque). RNAcentral describes it as "lncRNA (ENSMFAG00000049697.1)". Lineage: Eukaryota; Metazoa; Chordata; Mammalia; Primates; Cercopithecidae. The record is from RNAcentral.
AGUUUCCAUCAAUCGAGACUGCAGUACAGAGGAAUCACAUCACACCCACAGACGAGGCAAAACAGACAUGUCUUUAUACAACUGCUCAAGUCCAACAGCUGAGGGGGCAGGAAAGAGAAGGGAAGGAGGUGAGUGAACCAUCCAGAAUUCUUCACCAGAUUGACAGGCAGCCUAUAAUUACCAUGCAUUUGCACCUUGAAUGCAGGUGUUGUCAUAAUCAGAGACUCUUCUUAGCAAAGGCUUUUUGCUAAAGGUGAGAGGGCUUCACAGGAUGUGUGUUGCCUGUGGCCCUGAAUGGGUUUGGAGGCAGAUUUAUAGUGGAGGGCACCUAAAUGUGAAAAGAUAAGAGUCCCCCAUGCCCCCCACCACUCCAAUCUGGCCCUCGGGUUUAAAUUAGUGGAUUUCCCACUCUGGGGUAAAGUGAAGUGCUGUUCAGAGUCCCAAACAAGUGUAUGAGGCUUUAAAGUCACGCUGCCCUCUUAGGUAUAGCCUGGCUCCUAAUUCUCUCUAGUUAAUCUGACUGGCAUAGCCUCCACUUUAGAGAUGGAAAAAUCCACAAUUUGCCUCAGUCUAACCACAAAUAAGCAGAACUAGAAUUCAGGUCUCCACUCUGCUUUGCAUUCUACAAAACUGCCAAAAAAAAAAAGUUUAUUUAUGCUUUCUUUCCUUUAAAAAAUAUUUUAAACUUUCUCUGAGUCUGGUCCAGAUACGUAGGACUAGCUUUGUUUUGGAGGACACAGAUAAAGACUAUUUCUCUUUCUCCACUAUCUGUAUGUCUACACUUACAAAAGAAAAAGAAGAAACACCGUUGUGUGUGAUGACCAGAGCAGGGACUGGGUCAGAAGAGGUCUUUAUGGAAUAAGAGACUUCAGAGGGCAGAAAUCUCACCUCAUUAGUUAACAUGAUUUGAGUGAUCAAAACUUUAACACUUAUCACCUUAUUUCCUACAUUAUCUCAGACUUGCCUGCAUGUUCAAUGCCCUGACCCUAACAAGCCCUACUAGAAUUAUAAGCAGCAUUUAUUAUUAUUUUUUAAUGCUGGCAGUGCUUGGCACCAUUUCCUAAAUGGAGGUUAAAAAUUUGCCAAAGAUGUAUUCUACUUUUCUCUUUCUUUCCAAGAUCUUUCAAGAGAUGAGCUUAAAAAAAAAAAAAAAA